This 363-nucleotide ribosomal RNA is filed under the name uncultured bacterium. RNAcentral's name for it is "partial 16S ribosomal RNA". It matches the Rfam family "Bacterial small subunit ribosomal RNA", at positions 338 to 699 of the family's 1533-position model. The record is from RNAcentral.
CCUACGGGAGGCAGCAGUAAGGAAUAUUGGUCAAUGGCCGGGAGGCUGAACCAGCCAAGUCGCGUGAGGGAAGACGGCCCUACGGGUUGUAAACCUCUUUUGUCAGGGAGCAAGGUGCAGGUCGGGACCUGCUGUGAGAGUACCUGAAGAAAAAGCAUCGGCUAACUCCGUGCCAGCAGCCGCGGUAAUACGGAGGAUGCGAUCGUUAUCCGGAUUUAUUGGGGUAAAAGGGUGCGCAGACGGAGGCACAAGUCAGCGGUAAAAUCGCGGGGCGAAACCCGGCUCCGCCGUUGAAACUGUGUCGCUUGAGUGCGCGAGGGGUAGGCGGAAUGCGUGGUGUAGCGGUGAAAUGCAUAGAUAUCA